RNAcentral lists this ribosomal RNA (596 nucleotides) under Millepora exaesa. RNAcentral's name for it is "partial 16S ribosomal RNA". It matches the Rfam family "Bacterial large subunit ribosomal RNA", at positions 1813 to 2598 of the family's 2925-position model. Lineage: Eukaryota; Metazoa; Cnidaria; Hydrozoa; Anthoathecata; Milleporidae. The record is from RNAcentral.
ACAUAGCCCUUUACAAUUAUAAGAGGUGUUACCUGCCCAAUGGUUUAUGAUUAAAGAAAUAAAAUUACUUAAAAUAGACUUAAAGGACGCAGUAUACUGACUGUGAUAAUGUAGCGUAAUCACUCGCCAUUUAAUUGGUGGAUAGUAUGAACGGAAAUACGAAUGUAACACUGUCUCAGUGAGAGAUCUUAUAAAAUUGGAAUGAUAGUCAAGAUACUAUCUAAAACUGUAAGACGAGAAGACCCUAUAGAGCUUAACUAUAUCUUUCUCAUAACCAUAAGUUUACUUAAUACGAAGAAAGAGAGGUAGUUUAGUUGGGGCGACUGCUUUCUAAAAGAAACGAAAGUACACAAUAUUAAUUAUUUAAUUUACUGUAUAAUUCAUAUAUUUAACAGUUAUAACAAUAGGUAAUAAUGACCCGUUAAUCCAAGAAAAUAUGAUUAACGAUAAAUAAAUAAAAGCUACCUUAGGGAUAACAGGAUAAUCUUGUUUUAGAGACCCAAUCGAAAACAAGGUUUGUCACCUCUAUGUUGAAUUAAGAUAUCCUAGAUACGCAGAAGUCUCUGAGGGUAGGUCUGUUCGACCUAUAAAUCUUA